CAGCCAGACUCCUACGGGAGGCAGCAGUGGGGAAUAUUGGACAAUGGGGGGAACCCUGAUCCAGCGACGCCGCGUGAGUGAAGAAGUAUCUCGGUAUGUAAAGCUCUAUCAGCAGGGAAGAAAGAAAUGACGGUACCUGACUAAGAAGCCCCGGCUAACUACGUGCCAGCAGCCGCGGUAAUACGUAGGGGGCAAGCGUUAUCCGGAUUUACUGGGUGUAAAGGGAGCGUAGACGGCUGAGCAAGUCUGAAGUGAAAGGCGGGGGCCCAACCCCCGGACUGCUUUGGAAACUGUAUAGCUAGAGUGCAGGAGAGGUAAGUGGAAUUCCUAGUGUAGCGGUGAAAUGCGUAGAUAUUAGGAGGAACACCAGUGGCGAAGGCGGCUUACUGGACGGUACCUGACGCUGAGGCGCGAAAGCGUGGGUAGCGAACGGGAUUAGAUACCCUGGUAGCC
Molecule: ribosomal RNA, 453 nt
Filed under: uncultured bacterium
Lineage: Bacteria
Description: bacterial SSU rRNA
Rfam family: Bacterial small subunit ribosomal RNA
Source: RNAcentral